UUACGGUCAAAUCACGCUGAAAACGCCGGUUCUCGUUCGAUCACCGAAGUUAAGCAUCGUAGAGCCAGGUCAGUACUUAGAUGGGGGACCGCUCGGGAACACCUGGUACUGUAAA
Molecule: ribosomal RNA, 115 nt
Filed under: Acanthosepion pharaonis
Lineage: Eukaryota; Metazoa; Mollusca; Cephalopoda; Sepiida; Sepiidae
Source: RNAcentral